GGACCUUGUACCACUCUACAGUUUUACAGAGUCGAGCAGAGAACAAUUCUGUAUAUAUUUCAGGGCUCCAAUUCAAUAUUUUUCAUUCGAAGAGAUUUUAGAGAAAUCAUUGACAAAUAUUUGCCAUAUCAGGUGUUCCAUCACAAGAAAUAGGCAACCACUUAGUCACAGACACUUGCCCAUCAUGGACCAGUUGUGGGAAAUUUCCUAGGACUUCAAUAAAUUUACUUUAUCUCCUUCUCCCAUAAUUGGACAUCAUUUGCCAUUGGUCUUCCUGGUGGCCAUCCCCAAACUGAUUUGUAAGGCAGAACUUUGAAACAUAAAGAACACCAGGUGCAGACGAUAUCCGAGCUUGUAACUCAUUUGUGGCAUUAAUUGUAUCUAAGAUAGAGGAACCACUAAUGGCUCCAAAUUGCAUUCAGUAAUCGCUAGGCCGAUACACAGAACCUUAAGAGUUGAAAAUCUCACUAAACAAUGUUUUCGAAUGACGGGUCAAGAAAAAGCAAAUAGUUUCCGGGUGAUUGUUUGAUUACAACAUGCUUUUAAGCUAGGAAUACUUGGCAUUAAAUAAAAUCAAUAAACUGAAACUGAGUAAACAGCAGUCAGCCGCAUACUAGAGAUUCAGGACUCUGGACAUUUUUCGAGAGCGAGUAACAGUUUCUGCCUAAAGAGAUUGCAGAUGCUCACAGCUCAUGUAAAAGACGGCCCAAAUUCAAUGUGGCUGCCACUAAUUUCACACUUUCAGAAAUCUUCUCAGUUCUCAGUACCUUGAUCUAGUACCAAUAUACUGGUCAUGUCGACCCCUACUCUGAACAGGACGAAGAAAUGUCCUCGUGUGAGACCAGUAUUCAGAUGGCUGGGAAGCAGAAUAUGAGAGAUCACGGUACAAAACCAGGUCUCUGUGCAGUACAUAGGGAUCAACGCGUUCAAUCUCCCCUUGAUGCUGCUCAUGGAAUGAGUUCAUUACAUGCUCCGUCUGCUCUCGAUGCCUCAGCUCCAAAUCUCGGAAUCGUCUGUACUGAUGCUCAACAAAUGGAUCCCUUCUGUAAUCAUUCAUUUCCAAGUUCCCUUCAUAAGAAUAUGAUCGUGGAGAGGGUGCAAGAGUUGAUGCUGGGGGUAAAGGUACACGUGAUGACAGAGGUGCAACAGGGGAUGCAUAAAUUUCCCUUUUAUAGGUGUUACAGUGUCGCUUCCUAGCCCCGUGCUGAUCUGCAAAUUUAUGGGUUUCUGCUCUGUGACUCCGUUUUCUACUCUUCUCUCGAUCUGUAAAUGUAUGCGUCUCUGCACCAGGAUUUCUUUGCAACCCCUUCGACAUGGAGGUUUUGCUAACACCUCGAAAAAGUUUGCACAAAUUCUUCACCUGUUCUGAUGUCAAUCGACAAUCAAAUUUGUUCUUCUGGUAAUAGUUGUCUUUGAUGACCUUUUUAAACUUCUCCUCUGGCAGCGGUAUGCAGUCCUUAUAAACAUUGAACCGCACCUGUGAGGGAAAUGCACACUUGAAAGCCUUUGGUUCAAUAUUAUAACCCCCAGGUCCUGUAGCUCUGUAGAUUCCAUAUAGCAAUUUCAAAUCAAAAUCAAACAAAAAUAGCUUCAUCCCUUCACAAAUUUGUAGAACAACAUCUCUCUUAUUUGCUGGCAAACCUAAAACCAUGUAACGGUAGCAAUCCUUCUUGGACUGAGAACUACACAUAAAUAUCAUCCCCAUAAGUUUAUCAUUCCUUAUUGCCUUUUUGUUUGAAGGUUCUUGGUCAUUCUUAUCCUUGACAAUCACUUCACUCAUGCCCUUCAAAGCCAUCUUCUUCUUUGAGCCUUUUCUCCCCCUUUUCCUCAACUUGCCUAUUUUCUUCUUGGAAAUAUCUUCUACUUUAUCUUCAUUCUCCACCUCUUGUUUUGCAUCUUCUUCAUGCAACCCUUCAUCAUCAACAUUAUCUUUGUUAUUCAAAGUUUGAAGGUUCUUGCUUGAAGGUUCUUGAUCAUUUGUAUCCUUGACAAUCACUUCAUUCAUACCCUUCAAUGCCAUCUUUUUCUUUGAGGCCUUCUUUCCCUUCUUCCUCGGUUUAUCUGUUUUCUUCUUGAAGAUAGCUCCUACUUGUUCUUCAUUCUUCACCUCUUCUCUAGUAUCUUCUACAUGCACUACUUCUUCUUUAGGAUUCAUUUUACUAUUCAAAUCCUCCAUUGUAUGUUCUUUCUCCUUGUCAUGUCCUAUAACCACAUUAGACUCUUUUGUAAGCUCAUCCUUCUCUUUGCCACCAAGAAUCAAAAUUGAUUCUUUGGCAUUCAUAUUCAUCGGCUCCAAGUAAGUUAUCUCAGUUUCAGCAUUGUCAAUCUUCUCAUUGUUCAUCUUUACUUGCAUAUUUUCUUUCCCCUCUUCACACAAAAUACUCAUAUCAAAUUCUUUUAAAAAUUGUUUCUUCUCUUCACCACCAAGAAUCCAAAUUGCUUGUUCAUCAUUCACCAUCAUUGUUUCUGAGGAAGCUAUAUCAAUUUCAACAUUGCUACUCUUACCAUUAUCCACCUCUUCCAUCCUAUGUUCUUUCUCCAUUUCACCUUCAAUAUUGCGAUCAUUAUUUUUUGGCAUUGAGCUAAAAGCAUCCUCGCCAUUCAUUUCAUCCAUUGGGACCCUGGAUAAUCAUAUAAAAGUUUUUAAUCAAAUAUAGAUCCUUAUUUAGACAUUUAAAAGUGAAACCAACUAAAAUAAAUGGGGCAACAACCAAUAGCAUUGCCAAAUUGCCUCCCCUUAAAAGGAGUUCAAGGAAAUGAGCUCCUAGUAUUCAUAGAAUCUCUCAAGAUCUCAAAGAGAACCCAACACAUGACAACAGGAAGAAACCAUAUUAUUAUGAGAAAUCAUCCAAGUGAUGAAGAAAUAGGAGUGUGUAAUGUGCCAUUGAGGCACUUACAAAGUUUGCACAACUUGCUAUUACCCUGGUAAAUUAAACCAAACUAUGAUGCCCAUAAGAGCGUGAACUAAAAUUCCAAAACAUCAAGCUACAUAUGCACAAGACAAGAUUCAGUAAGAGCCAAAAGGAAGGAAGGAAGGAAGGAAAAAAAGAAAGAAAAGAGAGACUACAAAUACAAGAUUUUUGCUUAAGACAUUAUAACUUUGAGCAAUGUGAAAUAUGUAAUUCAUAAUAUAGUCCUCAUGGUAAAUAAAAAAAAUAUAUUAUCCCACAUACCAUGACAAUGUAACAAGGCACAUACUUGGUGCCAUUUUGGUAACCACAAAGUAAGGUAUAUUGUGGCAAAAACUCAUAUUAAAUGUCUACAGCACCACCCAACUAUGGUUGAUACUAUUCUACCUUAUACAAUAAAAUUUUUGAAUAUUACUCAUGGGAGAGAGAGAAAGAGGGAGGGAAGAAAUUUUUUGAGUUGAUGAUACAUAAUCUAUUAGAUCAUGAAUGCAGAGAAUAGAUGAAAGGGAGCCUAUAACUCAUUCAUAAAGUAGGGAGAAUUAACACUCAUUUGUUCAUCAAAUCUCACAUCCAUGCUUCUUUGGAAGCAUAAGACCUUAUUUUGUUCACCAAGAAUAAUAGAUCAGGAAAAGGAACCAAGACUUCAAUCCUAUGAUUUAAGUUCUUGUUGACUGAUAUUGAAAGGAAUCGGAAUGAAAUGGUCUUCAUUGACUAAUUUCAUUCCCACAUAUGGACUAGGUAUUAGGAAUUAGUAACAGAAAAGAGAGACAAAUCUCAAUAAUAACCAAACAAGCUCCAAAUGUAAUUUGAGCUUGAUAAUUUUGAUAAUACAAAAUUAAUUUCUCCCACCAAAAAGCCAACGCCAUUAAUAAGAAGGAAAUUUGAGUCACAAAGCAAAUCAUCUAGAUAUUUCCUUCCACAAUUCUAAUCCUGUCAAUUAGAUAUUUGCAUGUGGCAACCUAUGGACCCUUUAAUUUGUUUCCAUUUCCUUAUUGUAUUUCCUAUAUCAAUAUAUUGAUCCUCUUCAACUUUAUUAUAUCACACACAAGAAAUCCUCCAGUAGAUUGCUAUCAUUGUGCUUUCUCUUCUUGCAUGUUUUACUCAACUGACAAAGCAUGAAGUAAAGCAGAGGAUACGAGAUGGGAAAAAUACAAAUAGUCAAUCAAGAAAAGACACAUCAAUUUCCAAGAUGAAGAAAUUUAUCAAAACAAGGAUUCCAUAGUUCUAACAUCACCUAAUCACUUUUUAUUUAAAACUUAAGGGCACUUUUAUUUUCAUAAUAUUUUCUAACAAAACAAGACAUUGUUAGAAAAUUUGCCACUCAAAAAUCAAACAAAGUUCUUAGAGAAUCGGUUUUUCAACUUCUUCUGAUUUAAAUGGUCUUCUGAAAAUAGUUUUUCCAGUUCUCUGAGUUUCCUCCUAAUUUCUAAAGUUUAUAAUAGAAAGUUAGAAAACGCGUUCACCUAUUGAAUGUAGCCUUCCAAAAUUUCCUAUCAAGUUAGGAAAAUUGGAACAUCCCAUUUCCUAAAUUUGAAUGGACCAAUGGAUAAUAAAAAUCUGAGAAGAAGCCAGAAACAAUCUGCUAAAGUAACUGGGCUUCCCAAAUGGAAACCAGCUAAUAUCCAAAAUUCAUUGCAUGUAAAUUCAAAUAGUAUCCAAAUACUGGAACAACUGCAUCCUAGACCUCAAUAAGAGUUCUUAGCAACUAUAAGCCACUCAAAGAACAAUGAAACAUGGAAUGCAAUGAAUCUACAUGGAUAGUAGCAAAUCAAUUCAAAACAUAAAUCUACUAAUAACAACCUUGGGAGUAUCUUAAGCACAUGAAUUAGCCAACUACAAGUUCACAGGAACGAAAACCCUAAAAAAAAUGACAAAUCAAGCUCUGAACCUACUAAUCGUUACAUUACAUAAAAUUUCCCCAAAAUUUAUACCUGAACAAGUACAAAGCAAUAGAUACUUACAAAAUAUAUGACAAAUUGAUUCCAUUAAUCAAGAUGAAGAAAUCGUACCGUAUGGAAACAAAAAUUCGCCAAGAUUUUCUUUAAAAAAAAUAAAAGGUAAAACCUA
RNAcentral lists this unclassified non-coding RNA (4976 nucleotides) under Hevea brasiliensis (rubber tree). The record is from RNAcentral. Lineage: Eukaryota; Viridiplantae; Streptophyta; Magnoliopsida; Malpighiales; Euphorbiaceae.